This 145-nucleotide small RNA is filed under the name Listeria ivanovii. RNAcentral's name for it is "Listeria sRNA rli32". It matches the Rfam family "Listeria sRNA rli32". The record is from RNAcentral. Lineage: Bacteria; Bacillati; Bacillota; Bacilli; Caryophanales; Listeriaceae.
AUGGAGCGCUUUUACCCAAAAGAAAGCGAAUGGUGUUAAAGCAUUGAUUUUUAAAUUCAAAUUCGUCUUAUCCCUUGGCGUUGCUUUAGCAUUAUGAACUCCCUAAUACUCCCUUUAACCGCAUCCCCCUGGUGCGGUUAAUUUU